UUUUUUUUGUUUCUUUGGUUUGCUAUAACUUUAAUUUUGAAUUAGAAUUUAAAUGUUUCUCUUUCCUCCAUUUAUCUCAAACUAGGGAGAGUGCUAUGACUGGCUGAUAUUCACAUUCUCAUUUCAUUCCUUAUUUAGGGGGUGUAUUCAAUUAAGAUUUUUAAAGACUUUUUUUAAGUGACAUACUUUUGUAGAAUUUGUGGGAUUUUAAUGACUUUCAAAGACUUUAAAGACUCUUUUAAAAUGACUUUUAUAGACUCUAUAAAAUAAGUAACAGACUUUUAUAAACUUUUUAGCAAGACUGUGAUAGACUUUUGUAUACUUCUAAUAUAUCUUGCAACUUAUAUUAAUUGUUAAUUAGCCCAUGUGUACAACAUCGCUCUCUUUUUUCAUGAACUAUAUUAAAUCUCAUUAUAUUAUUGUGGCAUGAGAUUUUAUAUAUGUUGAAAGCGUUCAUAUUAUUCUACUCAUUUCAUAAUACAUUUGGAUACUCGGAUACCAAUAAAACUUUAGAAACUACAGACGCA
RNAcentral lists this long non-coding RNA (527 nucleotides) under Panax ginseng (ginseng). RNAcentral describes it as "long non-coding RNA (PGIN_LNC007729)". Lineage: Eukaryota; Viridiplantae; Streptophyta; Magnoliopsida; Apiales; Araliaceae. The record is from RNAcentral.